Molecule: ribosomal RNA, 484 nt
Filed under: uncultured bacterium
Lineage: Bacteria
Description: partial 16S ribosomal RNA
Rfam family: Bacterial small subunit ribosomal RNA
Source: RNAcentral
AUGAACGCUAGCGAUAGGCUUAACACAUGCAAGUCGAGGGGCAGCGAGGGUAGCAAUACCUGUCGGCGGCCGGCGCACGGGUGAGUAACGCGUAUGUAACCUGCCCGCAACAGGGGGAUAACCCGGCGAAAGUCGGACUAAUACCGCAUAAAACAGGGGUCCCGCAUGGGAAUAUUUGUUAAAGAUUUAUCGGUUGCGGAUGGGCAUGCGUACCAUUAGGUAGUUGGUGAGGUAACGGCUCACCAAGCCUUCGAUGGUUAGGGGUUCUGAGAGGAAGGUCCCCCACACUGGUACUGAGACACGGACCAGACUCCUACGGGAGGCAGCAGUGAGGAAUAUUGGUCAAUGGGCGAGAGCCUGAACCAGCCAAGUCGCGUGAAGGAUGACUGCCCUAUGGGUUGUAAACUUCUUUUACAAGGGAAUAAAAUGAGAUACGUGUAUUUUAUUGCAUGUACCUUGGGAAUAAGCAUCGGCUAACUCCGUG